GCUAUAGGGUUGGCCGAUGGCUGAUUAGCUAGUUGGUGGGGUAAAGGCCUACCAAGGCGACGAUCAGUAGCUGGUCUGAGAGGACGACCAGCCACACUGGGACUGAGACACGGCCCAGACUCCUACGGGAGGCAGCAGUGGGGAAUUUUGGACAAUGGGCGAAAGCCUGAUCCAGCAAUGCCGCGUGUGUGAAGAAGGCCUUCGGGUUGUAAAGCACUUUUGUCCGGAAAGAAAUCCUUGGUCCUAAUAUGGCCGGGGGAUGACGGUACCGGAAGAAUAAGCACCGGCUAACUACGUGCCAGCAGCCGCGGUAAUACGUAGGGUGCAAGCGUUAAUCGGAAUUACUGGGCGUAAAGCGUGCGCAGGCGGUUUGCUAAGACCGAUGUGAAAUCCCCGGGCUCAACCUGGGAACUGCAUUGGUGACUGGCAGGCUAGAGUAUGGCAGAGGGGGGUAGAAUUCCACGUGUAGCAGUGAAAUGCGUAGAGAUGUGGAGGAAUACCGAUGGCGAAGGCAGCCCCC
Molecule: ribosomal RNA, 520 nt
Filed under: Burkholderia cepacia
Lineage: Bacteria; Pseudomonadati; Pseudomonadota; Betaproteobacteria; Burkholderiales; Burkholderiaceae
Description: bacterial SSU rRNA
Rfam family: Bacterial small subunit ribosomal RNA
Source: RNAcentral